RNAcentral lists this ribosomal RNA (279 nucleotides) under uncultured Staphylococcus sp. RNAcentral's name for it is "partial 16S ribosomal RNA". It matches the Rfam family "Bacterial small subunit ribosomal RNA", at positions 83 to 356 of the family's 1533-position model. The record is from RNAcentral. Lineage: Bacteria; Bacillati; Bacillota; Bacilli; Caryophanales; Staphylococcaceae.
CCUUUGACGUUAGCGGCGGACGGGUGAGUAACACGUGGGUAACCUACCUAUAAGACUGGGAUAACUUCGGGAAACCGGAGCUAAUACCGGAUAAUAUUUCGAACCGCAUGGUUCGAUAGUGAAAGAUGGUUUUGCUAUCACUUAUAGAUGGACCCGCGCCGUAUUAGCUAGUUGGUAAGGUAACGGCUUACCAAGGCGACGAUACGUAGCCGACCUGAGAGGGUGAUCGGCCACACUGGAACUGAGACACGGUCCAGACUCCUACGGGAGGCAGCAGUG